This 406-nucleotide ribosomal RNA is filed under the name uncultured bacterium. RNAcentral describes it as "partial 16S ribosomal RNA". It matches the Rfam family "Bacterial small subunit ribosomal RNA", at positions 30 to 526 of the family's 1533-position model. The record is from RNAcentral.
AUUGAACGCUGGCGGCAGGCCUAACACAUGCAAGUCGAACGCGUGGCGGACGGGUGAGUAAUGUCUGGGAAACUGCCUGAUGGAGGGGGAUAACUACUGGAAACGGUGGCUACUACCGCAUACCAUCAGAUGGGCCCAGAUGGGAUUAGCUAGUUGGUGGGGUAACGGCUCACCAAGGCGACGAUCCCUAGCUGGUCUGAGAGGAUGACCAGCCACACUGGAACUGAGACACGGGCCAGACUCCUACGGGAGGCAGCAGUGGGGAAUAUUGGACAAUGGGCGCAAGCCUGAUGCAGCCAUGCCGCGUGUAUGAAGAAGGCCUUCGGGUUGUAAAGUACUUUCAGCGGGGAGGCGUUACCCGAAGAAGAAGCACCGGCUAACUCCGUGCCAGCAGCCGCGGUAAUUC